Mandrillus leucophaeus (drill) is the source of this 399-nucleotide long non-coding RNA. RefSeq lists it as uncharacterized. The record is from RefSeq and is a predicted model, not a curated record. The transcript is spliced from 3 exons. Lineage: Eukaryota; Metazoa; Chordata; Mammalia; Primates; Cercopithecidae.
UGGGACCAUCUAGUCGCAGGAAAACAAGCUUAACAUGCCCACUGAUUCUACAUUAUGGUCUUGCCUCUCAACAGCCUCUGAAACCUCUCCAGGCCCCGAACUUUCUCUAAUCGGCCUCUACAGACCAAGCUCAUGACUCACAAUGGUCUAUUUAGGCCCAUACCCUACCUCACGGCAGUCUCCGCGGAUGAGGCUACUGCCUCACAACAGCCUCCACUGGCCCAGCUCCAUCAUUACAACGGCCUCUUUAGACCCAGCUCCUGCCUCCCAGUCUUCUCUCCAGGCCCAGAACUUUCUCAAGUUGACCUCACCAGACCCAGCUCCUGCCUCUCAUUACAGCCUCUGAAGGCCCCGCUCCUGCCUUUUGUUGGUCUCUCCAGGCCCAGCUGCUGCCCCCAG